UUGCUUCAGCAACACAUAUACUAAAAUUUGAACGACACAGAGAAGAUUAGCAUUGUCCCUGCACAAGGAUGACACUCAAAUUUCUGAACCAUUUUUGGAUUGG
RNAcentral lists this small nuclear RNA (103 nucleotides) under Capra hircus (goat). Lineage: Eukaryota; Metazoa; Chordata; Mammalia; Artiodactyla; Bovidae. The record is from RNAcentral.